Molecule: ribosomal RNA, 468 nt
Filed under: uncultured bacterium
Lineage: Bacteria
Description: partial 16S ribosomal RNA
Rfam family: Bacterial small subunit ribosomal RNA
Source: RNAcentral
GACGAACGCUGGCGGCGUGCUUAACACAUGCAAGUCGAACGGAAAGGCCCUGCUUUUGUGGGGGGUCCGAGUGGCGAACGGGUGAGUAACACGUGAGUAACCUGCCUUUGAUUUUGGGAUAACUUCAGGAAACUGGGGCUAAUACCGGAUAGGAGCUCCUGCUGCAUGGUGGGGGUUGGAAAGUUUCGGCGGUUGGGGAUGGACUCGCGGCUUAUCAGCUUGUUGGUGGGGUAGUGGCUUACCAAGGCUUUGACGGGUAGCCGGCCUGAGAGGGUGACCGGCCACAUUGGGACUGAGAUACGGCCCAGACUCCUACGGGAGGCAGCAGUGGGGAAUAUUGCACAAUGGGCGGAAGCCUGAUGCAGCAACGCCGCGUGCGGGAUGACGGCCUUCGGGUUGUAAACCGCUUUCGCCUGUGACGAAGCGUGAGUGACGGUAAUGGGUAAAGAAGCACCGGCUAACUACGUG